Paxillus rubicundulus Ve08.2h10 is the source of this 105-nucleotide non-coding RNA. Lineage: Eukaryota; Fungi; Basidiomycota; Agaricomycetes; Boletales; Paxillaceae. The record is from Rfam.
GCCUUGAUGGCUCAGUUGGCUAGAGCGCAGGUCUCAUACACUUGUAUGACUGGAAUUGGAUUCCAGGCAAUCCUGAGGUCGCAAGUUCGAGCCUUGCUCAGGGCA